Molecule: long non-coding RNA, 2246 nt
Organism: Conger conger (European conger)
Lineage: Eukaryota; Metazoa; Chordata; Actinopteri; Anguilliformes; Congridae
Exons: 3
Source: RefSeq, a predicted model, not a curated record
CCGGAGCAUGCAAACUCCGCACGGAGAGGCCCCGGCCGACCGGGAUUCGAACCCAGGACCUCUUUGCUGUGAGGCGGCAGUGCUACCCACUGCACCAUCCGUGCCACCAAGUGGAAGAAUAUUUUGCCCAAUUAUUUUUGUUAAGACUAGUAGCUUGAGGUAGUUUGAAGAUGAACGCCAUGGCCUGUGUAUAAUAUAUAUACUGAUUAUGUCACUAUAGUACACUAACACUACUACUACCUCUUUACAGAACCAGAGGAAGGCUCAGAUGUUGCAGUCAUCAGUUCUCUGGUUGUAGUGCUGGUUCUGGUUCUUGUCUUUACCAUCCUUUUAUUUGUCAUCUAUAAGAGGAGACGCAGAGUCACUUUGUAGUUUCCUUGACCUCCCUGGGAAUUGACUCUGCAUCAUGGCUGCUUGCUAAAGUUUCAGAGUCAGAAGACACAGCUUCAUGCUCCUCUAUCUUCACGCCACAAGUGCAGGCUAUUAUCUGUGCAUCAACAUAUAGCCUACAUAUACAGAGAGAGAGACAGCCGUCCAGCCAAAUGGAGGAACCGGGCAAGAAGGACUUUCAUCAGGGAGGUUACCAAGAACCCAGCGGCCACUCUUUGUAAGUCCUCUGCAGAGAUGGGAGAACCUGCUGGAAGGACAACCAUCUAAGCAGCACGCCAAGCCUUUAUGAUAGAGAGACGUCUAUCCUGUCAUCUCCUGUGCCAUAUUCCUGCGGUGUUCUUUCUGGUGUGAUGAGGUUAAAGGUGAGAAUCGUCUUAAGAGCUGCACUUGAAGUCAUGUGGGAGGAGCUUCAGGUGUGGGCAAACCUAACUGUAGGCAGACCCCUUCUGACAAACUGGUCCAUUCCAGUCCAAGUCCAAGUGGAGGCUUUGCACUGUGGUGAGUUGCAAAACUGUCAAAAGAUAAUAUAUUCUCUCAAUAUUUAAUUAGAUAAGGUUCUUUCAGAUUAAGUUUGAAAAUAUUUACUGGAGUAUACAUGUGAAAGUGAAAGUGCGAAGCUGUUGUGGUAUUUCUUAUGGGCUUGUUUUAUCCUCAACAUUCCUGACUCUUAGUAGUUAUAUUUGAGUAUUGCUAUAGUCCUCUGUAUGUCUUUAAGAGGCAGAUUUAUUGAUUGGAGUACAUUGGGAUAACCUAUAAUCAAGUGUGUGUGCGAACGAAUGAUUCAGAGAUGAGGCUGGCCAAGAAACAGCUGAGCAGCCAAGUGUCCAAUUACUUGUUCCCCUAAAAUGUGGGAAAUAUGAAUAAAAGAACUGUAAUUCUUACACACAUGGCCUGAUAUGGAUUGAGAUACCUUCAGAGCUGACUGUUUUAAAUGUAAAUUAUUUUUCUGAAUGCCUUUUCUGGAUUUUAAAAUAGCCGUUUCUUUCAUUUUGUGUUUUAACGGUACUGAUGCUUAAACUGUUUCAGGCUGAUGUGAAUAACUUUUGGAUAAAUAACGAUUUAUCCAAAAGAAUCAUGAAAACGCAUAUUCAAAGAGGACCUCAUCUUGUUAUGCUCACAAUUUUAACCAUCAUACCAAAAAACACGGUCGGAUCCCAAGAACUAUGGCGAGUUUCUGCCACGUCUUUUGUAAAUUGUGUGUGAUUCAGAGGUACUCCAUGGUACUGGGGCUUGUGAAAAUGGACACCAGUCUCCUUCAUCAGCCUGGCUCAUUUCUGACAUUUGCACAUUUGCUAAUUGUGAUGGGUAGUACCUUGGGACUAAUCUGUAAUAUUGAUAAUGGCUAUAAUGAGAUGAAUGAUAUUGGAUUGUAAAGUAAUCCCUAGCAAUCUGUAUUUUGAUACUUGAAUGAUUCUGCUUUUAUAAAUAUAUUUAUGUAUAUGGAUGUAUGUAAGUAAUGUUUCAUUUUUUUCUUUGUCCACGUUUGUGGUAAAUGGCAGGCAUUUAUAUAGCGCCUUUAUCCAAAUCGCUGUACAAUUGAUGCUUCUCCAUUCACCCAUUCAUACACACACUCACACACCGACGGCGAUUGGCUGCCAUGCAAGGCCCCGACCAGCUCGUCAGGAGCAAUUGGGGGUUAGGUGUCUUGCUCAGGGACACUGUGACACAGCCCGGGAGGGGGAGCGAACCAGCAACCCUCCGACUGCCAGACGACUGCUCUUACUGCCUGAGCCAUGUCGCCCCUUCUUUUUUUGUGGGAAAAAGAGAUCUGGCGAGUGUUUGAAAAGCUUCACAGAUCAAGGGUACUCAUCCCUGACCUGUCUUGGGGGUGAAAGCUGAACUGGAUUAUUAUUUUU